CCUACGGGAGGCAGCAGUGGGGAAUAUUGCACAAUGGGGGAAACCCUGAUGCAGCGACGCCGCGUGAGCGAUGAAGUAUUUCGGUAUGUAAAGCUCUAUCAGCAGGGAAGAAAAUGACGGUACCUGACUAAGAAGCCCCGGCUAACUACGUGCCAGCAGCCGCGGUAAUACGUAGGUGGCAAGCGUUAUCCGGUUUUACUGGGUGUAAAGGGAGCGGAAACGGUCCUGCAAGCCCGAUGUGAAAGCCCGGGGGUCCACCCCGGGACUGCAUUUGGAACUGUAAGGCUAGUGUGUCGGAGAGGCAGGCGGAAUUCCUAGUGUAGCGGUGAAAUGCGUAGAUAUUAGGAGGAACACCAGUGGCGAAGGCGGCCUGCUGGACGAUGACUGACGUUGAGGCUCGAAAGCGUGGGGAGCAAACAGGAUUAGAUACCCUAGUAGUC
This 440-nucleotide ribosomal RNA is filed under the name uncultured bacterium. RNAcentral's name for it is "partial 16S ribosomal RNA". It matches the Rfam family "Bacterial small subunit ribosomal RNA", at positions 338 to 795 of the family's 1533-position model. The record is from RNAcentral.